AGAGUUUGAUCAUGGCUCAGAGCGAACGCUGGCGGCGUGCUUAACACAUGCAAGUCGAGUGCGCGCCUGUAGCAAUACAGGUGGCGCACGGCGCACGGGUGCGUAACACGUGGGUAAUCUGCCCUUCGAUGGGGAAUAACUCCGGGAAACCGAAGCUAAUUCCGCAUAACAUUCCUUGAACUUCGGUUUGGGGACUCAAAGCCGUAAGGCGUCGGAGGAGGAACCCGCGCACGAUUAGCUAGUUGGUAGGGUAACGGCCUACCAAGGCUUUGAUCGUUAGCUGGUCUGAGAGGAUGGCCAGCCACACUGGAACUGAGACACGGUCCAGACUCCUACGGGAGGCAGCAGUGGGGAAUCUUGCACAAUGGGCGAAAGCCUGAUGCAGCGACGCCGCGUGGGGGAUGAAGCUUUUCGGAGUGUAAACCCCUUUCGACCCGGACGAAUGUCCCGCAAGGGAACUGACGGUACGGGUAUAAGAAGCCCCGGCUAACUACGUGCCAGCAGCCGCGGUAAGACGUGGGGGGCCAGCGUUGCUCGGAAUUACUGGGUGUAAAGGGUUCGUAGGCGGUGUAGCAAGUCGGGAGUGAAAUCUCUGGGCUCAACCCAGAGACUGCUUCCGAAACUGCUGUGCUUGAGUGUGGGAGAGGCGCGUGGAAUUGCAGGUGUAGCGGUGAAAUGCGUAGAUAUCUGCAGGAACACCCGUGGCGAAAGCGGCGCGCUGGACCACUACUGACGCUGAGGAACGAAAGCUAGGGGAGCAAACAGGAUUAGAUACCCUGGUAGUCCUAGCCCUAAACGAUCAGGACUUGGGGUGCCGCACGUUCGUGCGUCGUCCCGGAGCUAACGCGUUAAGUCCUGCACCUGGGGAGUACGGUCGCA
RNAcentral lists this ribosomal RNA (879 nucleotides) under uncultured bacterium. RNAcentral's name for it is "bacterial SSU rRNA". It matches the Rfam family "Bacterial small subunit ribosomal RNA", at positions 8 to 890 of the family's 1533-position model. The record is from RNAcentral.